RNAcentral lists this transfer RNA (34 nucleotides) under Trichocolea tomentella. Its description in RNAcentral is "partial tRNA-Phe". The record is from RNAcentral. Lineage: Eukaryota; Viridiplantae; Streptophyta; Jungermanniopsida; Jungermanniales; Trichocoleaceae.
GCCGGAAUAGCUCAGUCGGUAGAGCAGAGGACUG